This 249-nucleotide ribosomal RNA is filed under the name uncultured bacterium. Its description in RNAcentral is "partial 16S ribosomal RNA". It matches the Rfam family "Bacterial small subunit ribosomal RNA", at positions 1243 to 1500 of the family's 1533-position model. The record is from RNAcentral.
CGGGAAGCCAGGCGGCGACGCCGAGCGGAACCCGAAAACCUGUCUCAGUUCGGAUCGGAGUCUGCAACCCGACUCCGUGAAGCUGGAUUCGCUAGUAAUCGCGCAUCAGCCAUGGCGCGGUGAAUACGUUCCCGGGCCUUGUACACACCGCCCGUCAAGCCAUGGAAGCCGGGGGUGCCUGAAGUGUGCAGCCGCAAGGAGCGCCCUAAGGUAAAACCGGUGACUGGGGCUAAGUCGUAACAAGGUAUC